GACGAACGCUGGCGGCGUGCUUAACACAUGCAAGUCGAACGGAAAGGCCCUGCUUGCAGGGUACUCGAGUGGCGAACGGGUGAGUAACACGUGGGUGAUCUGCCCUGCACUUCGGGAUAAGCCUGGGAAACUGGGUCUAAUACCGGAUAGGAGCCAUUUUUAGUGUGAUGGUUGGAAAGUUUUUUCGGUGUAGGAUGAGCUCGCGGCCUAUCAGCUUGUUGGUGGGGUAAUGGCCUACCAAGGCGGCGACGGGUAGCCGGCCUGAGAGGGUGGACGGCCACAUUGGGACUGAGAUACGGCCCAGACUCCUACGGGAGGCAGCAGUGGGGAAUAGUGCACAAUGGGCGCAAGCCUGAUGCAGCGACGCCGCGUGGGGGAUGACGGCCUUCGGGUUGUAAACUCCUUUCGCUAGGGACGAAGCUUUUUGUGACGGUACCUAGAUAAGAAGCACCGGCUAACUAC
RNAcentral lists this ribosomal RNA (462 nucleotides) under uncultured bacterium. RNAcentral describes it as "partial 16S ribosomal RNA". It matches the Rfam family "Bacterial small subunit ribosomal RNA", at positions 28 to 504 of the family's 1533-position model. The record is from RNAcentral.